GGGAGGCGUAGCGAAAGCGAGUCCGAAUAGGGCGUAUAGUUGCUGGGUGUAGACCCGAAACCAAGUGAUCUAUCCAUGGCCAGGUUGAAGAUGCCGUAACAGGCAUUGGAGGACCGAACCCACAAAUGUUGAAAAAUUUGGGGAUGAGCUGUGGAUCGGAGUGAAAGGCUAAUCAAGCCUGGAGAUAGCUGGUUCUCCGCGAAAUCUAUUUAGGUAGAGCGUCAUCCGAAUACCCUCGGGGGUAGAGCACUGAAUGGGUAAUGGGGGCCCACAGCCUUACUGAUCCUAAUCAAACUCCGAAUACCGAGGAGUAAUAUCCGGCAGACACACAGCGGGUGCUAACGUCCGUUGUGGAGAGGGAAACAACCCUGACCUACAGCUAAGGCCCCCAAUUCAUGGCUAAGUGGGAAAGCAGGUGAGACGACCAAAACAACCAGGAGGUUGGCUUAGAAGCAGCCACCCUUUAAAGAGUGCGUAAUAGCUCACUGGUCAAGUGAUUCCGCGCCGACAAUGUAGCGGGGCUCAAGUCAUCCGCCGAAGCUAUGGCAUUCAGC
This 554-nucleotide ribosomal RNA is filed under the name Oxyrrhis marina. RNAcentral's name for it is "partial Bacterial large subunit ribosomal RNA". It matches the Rfam family "Bacterial large subunit ribosomal RNA", at positions 661 to 1213 of the family's 2925-position model. Lineage: Eukaryota; Dinophyceae; Oxyrrhinales; Oxyrrhinaceae. The record is from RNAcentral.